CAGAGUUGCAAAACUCCCACACCCUUUGUGAACGCACUGAAAAUACUGCUUCGGCGGGUAGCUCUUCAGGGGGUAGCCCGCCGGGGAAGCACUAAACUCUUGUAUUUUUGGCUUCUCUGAGUGAUUAUACAAUGAAUCA
Molecule: unclassified non-coding RNA, 139 nt
Filed under: uncultured Podospora
Lineage: Eukaryota; Fungi; Ascomycota; Sordariomycetes; Sordariales; Lasiosphaeriaceae
Description: sequence contains ITS1
Source: RNAcentral